Oncorhynchus keta (chum salmon) is the source of this 3240-nucleotide long non-coding RNA. RefSeq lists it as uncharacterized. NCBI's taxonomy places the organism in Eukaryota, Metazoa, Chordata, Actinopteri, Salmoniformes, Salmonidae. The transcript is spliced from 3 exons. The record is from RefSeq and is a predicted model, not a curated record.
UAUAAUGUUGUUAGACUCUGUUUUAUAACGUUGUUAGUCUCUGUUUUAUAACGUUGUUAGACUCUGUUUUAUAACGUUGUUAGACUGUUUUAUAACAUUGUUAGACUCUGUUUUAUAACGUUGUUAGACUCUGUUUUAUAACGUUGUUAGACUCUGUUUUAUAACGUUGUUAGACUGCUGUUUUAUAACGUUGUUAGACUGUUUUAUAACGUUGUUAGACUCUGUUUUAUAACGUUGUUAGACUCUGUUUUAUAACGUUGUUAGACUCUGUUUUAUAAUGUUGUUAGACUCUGUUUUAUAACGUUGUUAGACUCUGUUUUAUAACGUUGUUAGACUCUGUUUUAUAACGUUGUUAGACUCUGUUUUAUAACGUUGUUAGACUCUGUUUUAUAACGUUGUUAGACUCUGUUUUAUAACGUUGUUAGACUCUGUUUUAUAACGUUGUUAGACUCUGUUUUAUAACGUUGUUAGACUCUGUUUUAUAACGUUGUUAGUCUCUGUUUUAUAACGUUGUUAGACUCUGUUUUAUAACGUUAUAAGCUAUGUUAUUUAUUGAAAGUACCUGGAAUUUUGCAAACAUAAUCUUCACCCAGGUGAGGUCAUAGCCUGCAUUCAGCCCAGAUUAUGGCUGCGUCCCAAUCGUCUAAAGACGCGUCCUCUGCUUCGUCUACACACAGAUCUGAAACUAUAGGAUGUAGGUGCGAGAAAUAAUUAUCCUUGAUUUGCUUCCACAGCUCAACCGCUUACAGAUCAGUGCAGAAUGAAAGCUCGUCUUUAUUGGACGAGUUCACAAAGGUCCCGCCCUGUUUCGACCCGUUUGUUUUCCGAUUGGUUCCUGAUGAGUACGACCGCAGGUUCACCCAGAUGUUCACAUAUUAGCCUUUUCGAAGACAUUGACAAACGGUACACACACUUUUGAACACAAUACACACGUAGAUCAUAGAGCGGUUCGGACUGUAUAGACCUUCGCGAUACAUGUCGUAGUACCACAGCAUAGACACACUAAUACACCCAAGAGACGUCUGUUUUUGGGGGUCGUGAGAGCGGUUUGAAACUAGGAGAAGAACAAUAUUUUACAAAGGACAUAUUUGUGUAGUGUGUGUUCAGUAGUUGUGCUAUUAAUAAAAAUGACUACUCUGUUUGCAUUCUUUAGGAAGUUUUAAACAGAAAUGAAAUUGCACAACUGACAAAUGAACCCAACAGAAUGUCAACAAGCAACAUACACAGGAAAUGACCUCAGCGUGGAACAUUGUGAUUGUGUCAGUGUGUGAGUGUCUGUGUACGUGCAUGUGGUUUGUGUAACGAUUUUACCACAGAACCGGAGGAAAGAGGUGACAUGUGUUCAAUGGAAGCAGCAGAUGCUAAAAAGAGGACACACACACACACACAGACACACACACAGACACACACACAGACACACACACAGACACACACACACUCACACAGACAGACACAGACACACACACACACACACACAGACACUCACACACACACACACACACACAGUCACACACACACACACACACACACACACAAGGCAGGGCAGCAGGGAGCAGCUCUCUCCUUAUUUAACAUCAACCAGAGUGACGUCAACAAAACCCCAGAACUAGAACAUGGCAGUUUAUUCAGUCAUUAUUCAUUUUACAUUUACAUUUAAGUCAUUUAGCAGACGCUCUUAUCCAGAGCGACUUACAAAUUGGUGCAUUCACCUUAUGACAUCCAUCACUCAGGACAAGUAUGACAGAAACACACAUGGGUCUACAGAGUCAAGGUGGAUACUCAGGACAAGUAUGACAGAAACACAUGGUUCCACACAGUCAAGGUGUAUACUCAGAACAAGUUUGACUAAAACACACAUGGUUCUACAGAGUCAAGGUGGAUACUCAGAACAAGUAUGACAGAAACACACAUGGUUCCACACAGUCAAGGUGUAUACUCAGAACAAGUAUGACAGAAACACACAUGGUUCCACAGAGUCGAGGUGGAUACUCAGAACAAGUAUGACAGAAACACACAUGGUUCCACACAGUCAAGGUGUAUACUCAGGACAAGUAUGACUGAAACACACAUGGUUCCACACAGUCGUGCUUGGAAGUGCUCUGAUAACCAACAUUUGGGAGUUUGGGAAAUAUUCUAAGGUACUGAUAUUCUAAGGUACUAAUAUUCUAAGGAGGUACUAAUAUUCUACGGUACUAAUAUUCUAAGGUACUGUUAGUCUAAGGUACUAAUAUUCUAAGGUACAAAUAUUCUAUGGUACUAAUAUUCUAAGGUACUAAUAUUCUAAGGUACUGUUAGUCUAAGGUACUAAUAUUCUAAGGUACUAAUAUUCUAAGGUACUGUUAGUCUAAGGUACUAAUAUUCUAAGGUACUAAUAUUCUAAGGUACAAAUAUUCUAUGGUACUAAUAUUCUAAGGUACUAAUAUUCUAAGGUACUAAUAUUCUAAGGUACUGAUAUUCUAAGGUACUGAUAUUCUAAGGUACUGUUAGUCUAAGGUACUAAUAUUCUAAGGUACUAAUAUUCUAAGGUACAAAUUCUAUGGUACUAAUAUUCUAAGGUACUAAUAUUCUAAGGUACUGUUAGUCUAAGGUACUAAUAUUCUAAGGUACUGAUAUUCUAAGGUACUGAUAUUCUAAGGUACUAAUAUUCUAAGGUACUAAUAUUCUAAGGUACUAAUAUUCUAAGGUACUGUUAGUCUAAGGUACUAAUAUUCUAAGGUACUGUUAGUCUAAGGUACUAAUAUUCUAAGGUACUAAUAUUCUAAGGUACUAAUAUUCUAAGGUACUAAUAUUCUAAGGUACUAAUAUUCUAAGGUACAAAUAUUCUAUGGUACUAAUAUUCUAACGUACUAAUAUUCUAAGGUACUGUUAGUCUAAGGUACUAAUAUUCUAAGGUACUGAUAUUCUAAGGUACUGAUAUUCUAAGGUACUAAUAUUCUAAGGUACUAAUAUUCUAAGGUACUGAUAUUCUAAGGUACUAAUAUUCUAAGGUACUGUUAGUCUUCAUGUCUCAUCUACUAUCUGAUGUAAUCAAAGUGCCAAAUAACAAAAAUAAUGAGAUCUGACUCCAAUUAGAUAUUUAAGGAUCUAAACUUGAAUAAGAUUAUAAACAUAUCAUCUGUACUGAGCCACUGACAAGAACAAUAAACCUUGUCUUUAAAUUCUGGCUUGUUGUUUAUGUGGUGUUUUCAAUUCUAACUCUGUGAGGUGUUUAGUUUCAUUGUGUAGCUCCCAACAGAUAAA